AUUCCUUUAGUAUUAANAAGUACAGUUGACUUCCAAUCAAUCAGUUUCGGUGUAACCCGAAAAGGAAUA
RNAcentral lists this transfer RNA (69 nucleotides) under Prionailurus bengalensis (leopard cat). RNAcentral's name for it is "tRNA-Gly". The record is from RNAcentral. Lineage: Eukaryota; Metazoa; Chordata; Mammalia; Carnivora; Felidae.